RNAcentral lists this ribosomal RNA (315 nucleotides) under Aptostichus sp. RIV5. Its description in RNAcentral is "partial 12S ribosomal RNA". The record is from RNAcentral. Lineage: Eukaryota; Metazoa; Arthropoda; Arachnida; Araneae; Euctenizidae.
UUCCAGUACACUAACUUUGUUACGACUUACCUCCUCUUUAGAAGAGGGUGACGGGCGAUAUGUACACCUAAGAACACUUUCGUUUUAAAUUAUUAUUUUAAAACUACUUCCAAAUCCUCUUUCAUUUCCUCUUUAGAAGAAAAUCCUUUAAUAAGUUUAAUGUGUAAUUAGCUUUUUCUUCACUAUAGUCUUCACCUUGACCUGACUUAUUAAAAAUUUUGAGGCAGAAGCUGAUAAUUCUGCCUUAAGACGGCGGUAUAAAAGAAUGAAAUGGAGAAAAAAUAAACGGGUAGAGUCGUAAUAAACAAAUUCCUC